Molecule: long non-coding RNA, 895 nt
Organism: Cyprinus carpio (common carp)
Lineage: Eukaryota; Metazoa; Chordata; Actinopteri; Cypriniformes; Cyprinidae
Source: Ensembl
AAGAGCCCCUGCAUAUCCCAAUCCAACCAGCCAUCACUAACACUCUUGCCAGGCUGACAAGGCAGCCUUUUUCCCCCUGAGCACAACUCUAAUUAACAGCGGUGGAUGUAGAGAGGCCAGGCAAUGUGGAGCUACUAAGAGGGCCUGGGGCACUGGGCAGGUAAUCAGCUUAAAUACAGGUUUAUUUCCUGUCCUCUGCUUCCUGCUGCGUCCAGCAGAGAGUGCAUUCUUUUAUCUGUUUAUCUCCAAUUUUCUCUGACUUGCAUCAUGUCUUUCAGACUCACUGUCACCUCGGCUUAAGUGCUGGGUCUUGGGCAGCCAUCUCCUCUCAUCAGAUGCUUUCAGGAAAUGGGUUUGUGCUUCCUCAGUGGUGGAAUGGACCCACAAUGGGCCAGAACGGCAAGAAUGUGAUGGUGAAGCCUGGCCACUGACAGUCUGCCCCUAGGGGCACAAAUUACCCUGACUGGUACAAAGAAAAGAUGACACACGCAGCCUCAGGCCCCGUCUUCCUGGUCUUCCCGUCUCCAGUACAACCUAGUGAAUCAGACUGCUUCCAAUUAAAGAUUCAGUCUUUUUUUUUUCAAUGUCCACCGUGCUUUGUCUCAUAACACAGACAUGUCUUGUGGCAUUUACAAAGAAUGGAACGAUUGUACAGUAUUGAAUAUACAGGGGCUGGGUUGUCUUGUGUAGCAUUGAGUGAAUAGAUUAGCUGUAGAAUCCCCUCCACUCCAGUGCCCUCCACCCCCACUGCAUCCACAGGCCUAAGUGUGCAAGCCUGUUUCUCAUUAGUAUCCGUCCGUACUGAACUCCCUCGCAAUUUCCUCAUGGAGAAUUAAUGCCUCCUGCUCUUUGAAUAUAUGACUGCUGUCACAGGCUGGUGCAUUUUAUUGUUUUG